Molecule: ribosomal RNA, 301 nt
Filed under: uncultured bacterium
Lineage: Bacteria
Description: partial 16S ribosomal RNA
Rfam family: Bacterial small subunit ribosomal RNA
Source: RNAcentral
CAGCCGCCGCGGUAAUACGGAGGGGGCUAGCGUUGUUCGGAAUUACUGGGCGUAAAGCGCACGUAGGCGGCUUUGCAAGUCAGAGGUGAAAGCCCGGGGCUCAACCCCGGAAUUGCCUUUGAGACUGCAGGGCUAGCAGGUGAGAGAGGUGAGUGGAAUUCCGAGUGUAGAGGUGAAAUUCGUAGAUAUUCGGAAGAACACCAGUGGCGAAGGCGGCUCACUGGCUCAUACUGGACGCUGAGGUGCGAAAGCGUGGGGAGCAAACAGGAUUAGAUACCCGCGUAGUCCCUGUCUCUUAUAA